This 863-nucleotide long non-coding RNA is filed under the name Rhipicephalus microplus (southern cattle tick). RNAcentral describes it as "uncharacterized LOC119162421, transcript variant X2". Lineage: Eukaryota; Metazoa; Arthropoda; Arachnida; Ixodida; Ixodidae. The record is from RNAcentral.
CGCUCCGUCACGCGACACCACGAUUGCUCGGAGGCAACUUUGAGAGUAUUACUAUCCGUGUGUUCCAAUACUCCCCGUAGACGGUUAAAUAGACAGCUAAAUGGACGGCGGCCAUCUUAAGUCCCAUUCCAAUUGUUCACGAAUCACGUCGCAGACAAAGUAGACAGCUCGGAGAAGACCGCACCGUAGACAAAUACGAUGCAGGCUAGUUUGCUGUCUAAACAAGAUGGCGGGUGACGCGGGAAGUUCGUCUGCUUCGUCGUCGCAGCUCCUCGUUCCUACCGAGGCUCCCGCGUUCAAGUAAAAAUAAUUCAAGAUCUGGACUUGCAUGGAGCCACGCCCGAACAGUGCCGCAAGAAGUGGCUCAACUUGAUGAAAAAAGUAUAAGGACCUGAAGAACCCACCCACAGGAGCUGGCAACGAAGCAGAAGAACUGACGUGGCCUUUUUAUGAUGUGAUGGACGCAGUGAUGUCUGGAAGACCAAUAAUAACACCGCCGCGACUGGUCGCGUCAGCGCUUGCUGAUGAAAGUCCGGAAAGCCCAGAGGACAGUAACGAUCAUCAACCCCGGGAGGCGAAGCGACAGCGAUGGAAAGAGAGGCCGAAGCCGUAAAACAGAAGCGAUGUGAUGGAGCGCAACCUAACGAAUGUAGAAAGGCAAACGGAACUGAUGGGGAGAAUGUUUGAUUUUUUUAUGAGGCGCGCAAGUAACGAUCAGUUUCUUUUUUUUUGUCUUUAAGUAACAUUUGAGUAGCAUAGGACAGGGUUAAAAUUCACAAUUAUUGGUUACAUUCAUUAAUACACUUUACAUAUGUACAUGUUUCAUAGUUAAAUAAAAAAUUCUGCAGCUUGCAUACAAUCAA